GGGGCGCAGCAGGCGCGAAAACUUUACAAUGCGGGAAACCGUGAUAAGGGGACACCGAGUGCCAGCAUCAUAUGUUGGCUGUCCAGAUGUGUGAAAUACAUCUGUUAGCAAGGGCCGGGCAAGACCGGUGCCAGCCGCCGCGGUAACACCGGCGGCCCGAGUGGUGAUCGUGAUUAUUGGGUCUAAAGGGUCCGUAGCCGGUUUGGUCAGUCCUCCGGGAAAUCUGACGGCUCAACCGUUAGGCUUUCGGUGGAUACUGCCAGACUUGGAACCGGGAGAGGUAAGAGGUACUACAGGGGUAGGAGUGAAAUCUUGUAAUCCCUGUGAGACCACCUGUGGCGAAGGCGUCUUACCAGAACGGGUUCGACGGUGAGGGACGAAAGCUGGGGGCACGAACCGGAUUAGAUACCCGGGUAGUCCCAGCCGUAAACGAUGCUCGCUAGGUGUCAGGCAUGGCGCGACCGUGUCUGGUGCCGCAGGGAAGCCGUGAAGCGAGCCACCUGGGAAGCACGGCCGCAAGGCUGAAACUUAAAGGAAUUGGCGGGGGAGCACAACAACGGGUGGAGCCUGCGGUUUAAUUGGACUCAACGCCGGACAACUCACCGGGGACGACAGCGAUAUGUAGGCCAGGCUAAAGACCUUGCCUGAAUCGCUGAGAGGAGGUGCAUGGCCGUCGCCAGUUCGUACUGUGAAGCAUCCUGUUAAGUCAGGCAACGAGCGAGACCCCCGC
Molecule: ribosomal RNA, 730 nt
Filed under: uncultured archaeon
Lineage: Archaea
Description: bacterial SSU rRNA
Rfam family: Archaeal small subunit ribosomal RNA
Source: RNAcentral